Molecule: long non-coding RNA, 540 nt
Filed under: Mus musculus (house mouse)
Lineage: Eukaryota; Metazoa; Chordata; Mammalia; Rodentia; Muridae
Description: predicted gene 17173
Source: RNAcentral
GUGAUGGUCAUAAUGGCCAGGAGAAUGAGGUGGUCCGUCUCCUCUGCCAUCGAAGUCCUCUCUCCUCUCCUGCGAGAUCCAGGGCCUCUUAGGCUACUGCCAGACAAUCCGCAGCGGCUUCUUCUGCUCCGACGGUGCAUGCGAAUGAGGUUGAGGAUAACGCUGAUGUUGCAGGCGAGCACAGCCACGAUAAGCAGCAGGAGCAUCGUGGCGUACAGCUGAAGGUAAUGAAGCUACUGUUGCUUGUCCAGGCCACACUUUCAGAAGUGUUGAUCUAGCAUGCCUGCCUGGGCCACUCCAUCGCCCUCCACUUCGUCUUUGGCUGUUGCUGUCCUGUGUGAACUCUUAAGUGAGGACUUAAAGUGCUCCCAGUGUCCUUCUGAGCUCUGCUUUGCUUUGGCUAGGCUAGCCCAGCUCACUGCAGCCCCAUGCAACAUCUCAUCCCCUCUACUAACAGCAGACUGAAGCUGUAAGAGGCAGGUGUGAACGCCACUGACAUCACCUUCCACAGAGACUACGUCCUGAGUGGGCCUCUUACUG